This 310-nucleotide ribosomal RNA is filed under the name uncultured bacterium. RNAcentral's name for it is "partial 16S ribosomal RNA". It matches the Rfam family "Bacterial small subunit ribosomal RNA", at positions 503 to 807 of the family's 1533-position model. The record is from RNAcentral.
AAGAGACAGCAGUCGCCGCGGUAAUACAGAGGGUGCGAGCGUUAAUCGGAUUUACUGGGCGUAAAGCGUGCGUAGGCGGCUUCUUAAGUCGGAUGUGAAAUCCCUGAGCUUAACUUAGGAAUUGCAUUCGAUACUGGGAAGCUAGAGUAUGGGAGAGGAUGGUAGAAUUCCAGGUGUAGCGGUGAAAUGCGUAGAGAUCUGGAGGAAUACCGAUGGCGAAGGCAGCCAUCUGGCCUAAUACUGACGCUGAGGUACGAAAGCAUGGGGAGCAAACAGGAUUAGAUACCCCGGUAGUCCCUGUCUCUUAUAC